RNAcentral lists this ribosomal RNA (659 nucleotides) under Bacillus pumilus. Its description in RNAcentral is "bacterial SSU rRNA". It matches the Rfam family "Bacterial small subunit ribosomal RNA", at positions 566 to 1225 of the family's 1533-position model. The record is from RNAcentral. Lineage: Bacteria; Bacillati; Bacillota; Bacilli; Caryophanales; Bacillaceae.
GGCUCGCAGGCGGUUUCUUAAGUCUGAUGUGAAAGCCCCCGGCUCAACCGGGGAGGGUCAUUGGAAACUGGGAAACUUGAGUGCAGAAGAGGAGAGUGGAAUUCCACGUGUAGCGGUGAAAUGCGUAGAGAUGUGGAGGAACACCAGUGGCGAAGGCGACUCUCUGGUCUGUAACUGACGCUGAGGAGCGAAAGCGUGGGGAGCGAACAGGAUUAGAUACCCUGGUAGUCCACGCCGUAAACGAUGAGUGCUAAGUGUUAGGGGGUUUCCGCCCCUUAGUGCUGCAGCUAACGCAUUAAGCACUCCGCCUGGGGAGUACGGUCGCAAGACUGAAACUCAAAGGAAUUGACGGGGGCCCGCACAAGCGGUGGAGCAUGUGGUUUAAUUCGAAGCAACGCGAAGAACCUUACCAGGUCUUGACAUCCUCUGACAACCCUAGAGAUAGGGCUUUCCCUUCGGGGACAGAGUGACAGGUGGUGCAUGGUUGUCGUCAGCUCGUGUCGUGAGAUGUUGGGUUAAGUCCCGCAACGAGCGCAACCCUUGAUCUUAGUUGCCAGCAUUCAGUUGGGCACUCUAAGGUGACUGCCGGUGACAAACCGGAGGAAGGUGGGGAUGACGUCAAAUCAUCAUGCCCCUUAUGACCUGGGCUACACACGUGC